Molecule: long non-coding RNA, 309 nt
Organism: Mauremys reevesii (Reeves's turtle)
Lineage: Eukaryota; Metazoa; Chordata; Testudines; Geoemydidae
Exons: 3
Source: RefSeq, a predicted model, not a curated record
CACAGAUGUCAUAGUGCCUGUGAGAGACAAACACAUCUUGUGCACUAAACCGGGCUGUCCAAUUAUUAGAGCACUCCCAUUCUCACUGUGCCACUGUGGCAUUUUGGAGGAUGCAGCUGAAUAUACUUCACAGUGUUUGGUAAUGAUUGGAGCAUGUAUGGGAGCCGGAUGGGUGAGAAGACUGACAUGAGGCACAACUGGAGUUAUACGGUGCUGACUCUGUGGGUGCUUAGCAACGACCGGCAGCCAGCUCUCCCCUCACCCCAAGCGCCUCACAUCCUCUGGUGGCCCCACCGAUCAACUCCUCCC